Molecule: ribosomal RNA, 237 nt
Filed under: uncultured bacterium
Lineage: Bacteria
Description: partial 16S ribosomal RNA
Rfam family: Bacterial small subunit ribosomal RNA
Source: RNAcentral
GUUGUUCGGAAUUAUUGGGCGUAAAGAGCUCGUGGGCGGUCUGUUACGUCGGCUGUGAAAACCUGGGGCUCAACUCCGGGCCUGCAGCCGAUACGGGCAGACUAGAGUUCGGCAGGGGAGACUGGAAUUCCUGGUGUAGCGGUGAAAUGCGUAGAUAUCGGGAGGAACACCAGUGGCGAAGGCGACUACCUGGCCUGUUCUUGACGCUGAGGCGCGAAAGCUAGGGGAGCAAACGGG